RNAcentral lists this transfer-messenger RNA (143 nucleotides) under Helicobacter pylori HPKX_438_CA4C1. Its description in RNAcentral is "transfer-messenger RNA Helic_pylor_HPKX43". It matches the Rfam family "transfer-messenger RNA", at positions 231 to 374 of the family's 374-position model. From Rfam's summary of the family: Bacterial tmRNA, also known as 10Sa RNA or SsrA, is named for its dual tRNA and mRNA-like properties. Its role is to liberate the mRNA from a stalled ribosome. Lineage: Bacteria; Pseudomonadati; Campylobacterota; Epsilonproteobacteria; Campylobacterales; Helicobacteraceae. The record is from RNAcentral.
CUCUUGAAACUACCUCAAGGUUUUAGAAAGUUGGACCAGAGCUAGUUUUAAGGCUAAAAACUAACCAAUUUUCUAAGCAUUGUAGAAGUUUGUGUUUAGGGCAAGAUUUUUGGACUGGGGUUCGAUUCCCCACAGCUCCACCA